CCUAUCCUGCCCUACCUCUGUCUUACUUACAAAAACGUUUUUGUAACUUCCUUGUAGUAGAAUCCUAGGAAACUCAUGUAUUGAGCAACCUUUGUAAUACCUACCGGGAAUUACAUCUCCAAAACCCUUAUACAAAACUUACAAAAUUUAUAAAGUUUUGAAGUAAGUUCUUCAAAUCUCUCUACAAAAUUACAAAUUUCUUUUGAAU
RNAcentral lists this unclassified non-coding RNA (208 nucleotides) under Hevea brasiliensis (rubber tree). The record is from RNAcentral. Lineage: Eukaryota; Viridiplantae; Streptophyta; Magnoliopsida; Malpighiales; Euphorbiaceae.